GACGAACGCUGGCGGCGUGCUUAACACAUGCAAGUCGAACGGAAAGGCCCUGCUUGCAGGGUACUCGAGUGGCGAACGGGUGAGUAACACGUGGGUGAUCUGCCCUGCACUUCGGGAUAAGCCUGGGAAACUGGGUCUAAUACCGGAUAGGAGCCAUUUUUAGUGUGAUGGUUGGAAAGUUUUUUCGGUGUAGGAUGGGCUCGCGGCCUAUCAGCUUGUUGGUGGGGUAAUGGCCUACCAAGGCGGCGACGGGUAGCCGGCCUGAGAGGGUGGACGGCCACAUUGGGACUGAGAUACGGCCCAGACUCCUACGGGAGGCAGCAGUGGGGAAUAUUGCACAAUGGGCGCAAGCCUGAUGCAGCGACGCCGCGGGGGGGAUGACGGCCUUCGGGUUGUAAACUCCUUUCGCUAGGGACGAAGCUUUUUGUGACGGUACCUAGAGAAGAAGCACCGGCUAACUACGUG
Molecule: ribosomal RNA, 465 nt
Filed under: uncultured bacterium
Lineage: Bacteria
Description: partial 16S ribosomal RNA
Rfam family: Bacterial small subunit ribosomal RNA
Source: RNAcentral